GUCUCGGAAGCUUAGUUGGUAGAGCAAUGGGCUGGUAUCUCAGAGUCGCGAGUUCGAGACUCGCCUGAGACG
Cydia strobilella is the source of this 72-nucleotide non-coding RNA. The record is from the annotation of a RefSeq genome assembly. NCBI's taxonomy places the organism in Eukaryota, Metazoa, Arthropoda, Insecta, Lepidoptera, Tortricidae.